Anopheles funestus (African malaria mosquito) is the source of this 1474-nucleotide long non-coding RNA. RefSeq lists it as uncharacterized. Lineage: Eukaryota; Metazoa; Arthropoda; Insecta; Diptera; Culicidae. The record is from RefSeq and is a predicted model, not a curated record. The transcript has 2 exons.
UAGCCCAAGUAGAAAUUGUCAAGCGAAAUAUAGGCCCGAGGGGGUGUGAAGGGUAAAAAUUUGCUCGAAUCGUGAGAUGGAAGAAACUUCGCCGUAGGAAAGAGCAGGACGACGAUAAAAAUCUAUGAUGGUGUUGGUGAACGUCACCCAUCCUAUGGCGGCAUUUUCAAAACAAAAACAAAUCGUAUGUCCUAACGAAUAUACGCUAAACGUAUAUUCAUAUUUCCUGCGUGUUUUGAGUGUUUUGUGGCUCCCAUUUUGGUGAAGAAGUGUUUAAUUAUGUAUAAUAAAAACGUUUAAAGAAAAGUAGAGUGUUAUUCUAACAUGCUGAACUAAUUUCAGACAGUUAAAAAUGGACGUAGAAACAGAUAAGCUAGCAGGAGUUCAGAAGGACUAGGUAAGUUGUAUUUCGUUUCUUCAUGUGCUGUGUUUAGUUAUAUUCAUAGAAUAUACUACAGGACAACGAGCGUUUAAUUAAACGUGUAAAACUUCUAUGUUUUAGCAAAUUGGAUAGCCGUACGCUGCAGAUGCAGUGCUUAAAUCAGAAGUACAGGACAGCAUUCUAGAGUGUGAAUAGGAGUGUUUUUAGAAGAACGACGAUUGGAAUCAAUCCGGAACGAAAGAAGAGGGAAUGUAAAACCCCUUUUCAAUGUGCCGCUACGAGUUGAUAAGCAGUUGAUUAAUGUUGUAGGAUGACCGUUGAAGGCUUGCAAAGUGGUCUUGGAUGUUGUUUUCGGUAAGUAUUGUAGCAGUGCAAGAUGAUCAUGUGCCUACUUUAUCGUACUGACUUUUCUUCUUGGCUCGUUUUAGGUUUUAGCUGGCGAUGCUCUUAUACGCAUCAUGUCGAAUGGAUAGCUGCUAAGCAACGUCCUUGGAGGACAUGGCCCCAACUUCUUUCAUACGUGUUCUAACCGUUGCACGUUAGCGCCCAGUAAUGCAAGCGUAUCUGUCGUCAAUUGACAGUAAAAUAGCGAGCGCUUAGAUUACCUUUGCUAGUAUAAUCCUAGAGUCGUGAUCAGAUAAGAUGUAGGUAAAGGAUGGUGUAAAACGUAAAAUGUCCUUAAUUAGUAAGAUUUUUUGUAAAAAGGAUAGAUAGAACAGCACAAUCUUUAAGCAGCAGAAUCUUUACGCAACUUCUAUGUACGCAUUUAGUUGUAAGAAACAAACGAAUCAUAUUUACAUAAAACGAUCUUUGUAUGUAGAACUAACCUCGUUAGCAACGUUAGGAAGAACUGGAAAUGGCAUGCCAAAGCUUCGCCAGGUUGAAAAAAAAAACAUGCGCGUAUGUUAAAAAAGUUAAAAUAUAGUUUAUUACGUAUAGGGCAUAGUAAGGAGUUGUCCUUUCCUACAAAAAAUGUAUAGCUUUAAAAAGAAGAUGCGUUACGUAUUGUACCGAAGGCAUCGUUAAAAGUGAUAAGAAAGUGGGUACAGAUUCAAAUAAAAUACAAAAUCAAAUCAAAUGUACAUAAUCCUU